RNAcentral lists this ribosomal RNA (379 nucleotides) under Granulicatella adiacens. RNAcentral describes it as "bacterial SSU rRNA". It matches the Rfam family "Bacterial small subunit ribosomal RNA", at positions 28 to 395 of the family's 1533-position model. Lineage: Bacteria; Bacillati; Bacillota; Bacilli; Lactobacillales; Carnobacteriaceae. The record is from RNAcentral.
GACGAACGCUGGCGGCGUGCCUAAUACAUGCAAGUCGAACGAGAGCGACUGGUGCUUGCACUGGUCAAUCUAGUGGCGAACGGGUGAGUAACACGUGGGUAACCUGCCCAUCAGAGGGGGAUAACAUUCGGAAACGGAUGCUAAAACCGCAUAGGUCCUUUAACCGCAUGGUUGAAGGAGGAAAAGAGGCGUAAGCUUCUGCUGAUGGAUGGACCCGCGGUGCAUUAGCUAGUUGGUGAGGUAACGGCUCACCAAGGCCGUGAUGCAUAGCCGACCUGAGAGGGUGAUCGGCCACAUUGGGACUGAGACACGGCCCAAACUCCUACGGGAGGCAGCAGUAGGGAAUCUUCCGCAAUGGACGCAAGUCUGACGGAGCAAC